Molecule: unclassified non-coding RNA, 272 nt
Filed under: uncultured Basidiomycota
Lineage: Eukaryota; Fungi; Basidiomycota
Description: sequence contains 5.8S rRNA gene, ITS2, 28S rRNA gene
Source: RNAcentral
AACGCAUCUUGCGCUCCUUGGUAUUCCUCGGAGCAUGCCUGUUUGAGUGUCGUGAACACCUCACCCCUCUGGGUUUUCGGACCCGAUUGCCGGUGGAUUUGGGCGUUGCCACCUGACCGUGGCUCGCCUCAAAAGCAUUAGCUGGUCGGAAUGGGCGUGAUAAGUUUCGUCCGCGUCGGCUGCUUCUAAUGAUCCCGCGAGGGAUGUCUCCUCUGGGGGCAUGCAUUUUACGAUCUGACCUCAAAUCAGGUAGGGCUACCCGCUGAACUUAA